RNAcentral lists this ribosomal RNA (376 nucleotides) under uncultured bacterium. RNAcentral's name for it is "bacterial SSU rRNA". It matches the Rfam family "Bacterial small subunit ribosomal RNA", at positions 518 to 898 of the family's 1533-position model. The record is from RNAcentral.
CGGUAAUACGGAGGAUCCAAGCGUUAUCCGGAAUCAUUGGGUUUAAAGGGUCCGUAGGCGGUCUUAUAAGUCAGUGGUGAAAUCUCCCCGCUCAACGGGGAAACGGCCAUUGAUACUGUAGGACUUGAAUUAUUAGGAAGUAACUAGAAUAUGUAGUGUAGCGGUGAAAUGCUUAGAGAUUACAUGGAAUACCAAUUGCGAAGGCAGGUUACUACUAAUGGAUUGACGCUGAUGGACGAAAGCGUGGGUAGCGAACAGGAUUAGAUACCCUGGUAGUCCACGCCGUAAACGAUGGAUACUAGCUGUUGGAAGCAAUUUCAGUGGCUAAGCGAAAGUGAUAAGUAUCCCACCUGGGGAGUACGUUCGCAAGAAUGAA